Molecule: ribosomal RNA, 500 nt
Filed under: uncultured bacterium
Lineage: Bacteria
Description: bacterial SSU rRNA
Rfam family: Bacterial small subunit ribosomal RNA
Source: RNAcentral
GGGAUGCUGACGAGCGGCGGACGGGUGAGUAAUGCUUAGGAAUCUGCCCAGUAGUGGGGGAUAGCCCGGGGAAACCCGGAUUAAUACCGCAUACGCCCUACGGGGGAAAGCAGGGGAUCUUCGGACCUUGCGCUAUUGGAUGAGCCUAAGUCGGAUUAGCUAGUUGGUAGGGUAAAGGCCUACCAAGGCAACGAUCCGUAGCUGGUCUGAGAGGAUGAUCAGCCACAUCGGGACUGAGACACGGCCCGAACUCCUACGGGAGGCAGCAGUGGGGAAUAUUGGACAAUGGGGGCAACCCUGAUCCAGCCAUGCCGCGUGUGUGAAGAAGGCUUUCGGGUUGUAAAGCACUUUCAGCGAGGAGGAAGGCUUUCAGACUAAUACUCUGGAGGAUUGACGUUACUCGCAGAAGAAGCACCGGCUAACUCCGUGCCAGCAGCCGCGGUAAUACGGAGGGUGCAAGCGUUAAUCGGAAUUACUGGGCGUAAAGCGCGCGUAGGUGG